Molecule: non-coding RNA, 2229 nt
Organism: Xyrichtys novacula (pearly razorfish)
Lineage: Eukaryota; Metazoa; Chordata; Actinopteri; Labriformes; Labridae
Source: the annotation of a GenBank genome assembly
CUGUAUGAUGUAACUUCCUGAACUUUCUAUUCUUUGAAGGCAGGCAGGAGCUAGUCGACAAACUUUCUUUCUUUUCUUUUUUUGAAAUCGAUCUACGUGCAGCAUACCUUUGACUUAAAUCUACAGGAUGACUCAACAGAAGGCAAGAGGUGAAAAUAAACUGGAAUCCUAUGAUAAAAUGUUACAUCAGCUCUAUUAUUCAGGUAAAGAUUAGAUACUCCUAUCUCUGUCAAAUCAACAGACUGACAACAGACAGUUCACAGAUAAAAGUAAUUAUCUAACCCACCUCCCCAAAUUAAAUUUAGAAUUAUAAAUGACUGAUUUCAUGUAGCAGAAUGAAUAAUUUCCUUUUAGACUGAUCAGGCAAGUGAGUUUUAUUAAAAAGAUGAUAAAUAUUCAAGGUGAUAAUUAUCUCCUUCUCUUUAUUGUCUCUUUUAUUUUUGGCAAGUACCAAUCCAAUCUGGGUCAAGCACUCAGGUUACUCUUUCAGAUAGUUUAAACUCCAAAUCAAAUGUCCCCCGGUGGCACAAAAACUUAAUGCUUAAUCCAAGACUAUCAAAGUUUUCUUAAAAGUAAUUAAAAGUUAUAAUUAAAGGUUGGCCUGAGAUAUUCACCCAGGAGAGGUGCUCAAAUUCAACUUUGUGACACCUUUUUGUUCUUCUGUGUGCUUGUGAAAACACACACACAUAUGCACACACUCAUACACACACAGAAGAGUUUUGCACAAACUAUGGAUAUCCAUCGAUUCUUUAAAUUUUAGAGAAGCCCUACAACCUCCACUCCCGACAACCAGCCAGUGGGAAUCACUUGCAACUAUUAUCACACAUUAUGCCUUCAGCAGUUUGCAUUGUGCACCGCAAUCCACUAGAUGGCGUAAAAGGCAACCAAAUAAGAUAUAGCUAUUUUGAUUAUUAGGCAAAUAAAAGUGAAUCCUGACAAAUCCAGGUACCUGAUUUGAUUUGCAAAUACAGUAUGACAAAUAAAUCCAUAACUUAAAAAACAACUAAUCUUCUGUAGUGAUAUCCACUACAAUAAGUUCCAGACACACCCACAUCCACUUUGUGAUCAUUUAUCAUGGCACUUACUCUGUGUCUAUAUUUUUGGUGUAGCAAAACAACACAUAAUUAUAUCUAAAUGAUUUAAAAUUGUCAAGUGCAGAGAUUAUGGGAUGGCUUCAGUAAUCUGCAAUUAAAUUCUAUGAGUGGGGAAAUUGACACAUAAAUUGGGAUACCUAAAUCAAUGAGUUUGAAUCAUGUCUUUUCUUUGCACAAUGUGUGUUCUGUACCCUUUCAGACAGCACUAGGUGUAAAAUAUCUGUCAGACCCUGCUGAAUUAUGCACCCCUCCCUGCAGGAGACCCCUACCAGGUGUCCCACUCUUCCUGCCCGCGGAUGCUGGUUGACAUUUAAGACUGGAUGGGGCUCAUGACAAAGUGAAACAGCUGGAGCUGCUGACUAAUAUCAACCUGUGGAGAGAGGAACAGGGAAGCUUGGGUCAACCACAUCAAACAGAGAUAUGCCACAGGAAAUCAUCCCGGGGAGAUCAUUUUUUUUUCUUUUCACCUGUAGAUGCUCAUGGAGGGACGACGUCGACAUGUACCUGUGUUUGUGUGUCUGUGUAUGAGAUUUGAAACGGGGUGUUGGUGGAAUUCAGGUUAAAUGGCAGAAGUAUUCAAACAUAUAGUAUAAGUUUUUUUUGAUCAGUUACUUCACUCUCCUGAGACCCACAGCCUUUAUCAUGACCAGGACUAUCAUCACAGACUAAAUAAAUACCACAGUCUCACUAUACUAAAUAUGAAAGUAUUAUAUUCCCAUCUAGCUUUGAUGCAAGUAUUAAUUUAAUUGAGUUUUCAUAUAAUCAAAUAAAAAGAAGAAAAUGAAGACCAGAACCAUGCUGCAAUUUGUAAUGAACACAGUGUGGUUUAAAAACAACAACACAUGAGCUAAAACUGUCUCACUUUUGAACAAUGAUCCAAUCGCCACGUUACCUUGAUAAAUAAGCCAUUUUUCUUUUAUAUUUCAUUUCACAAAGCAAACGUCAAUAGCAGAUUUGACAUUAUCGACCACUGUGUCACAGUAAGUGGCACUUCUACAGCCAGCAGGACAAAUUAGGCACGUGUCAGUUGCCAAUAACAGGGGACUGCUGACUUUACAUAAUGUCUCUGAUUAUGAUUGCACAUGAUCUUGUGAGAGAGUCAAUAAAUCUGUUUUCUGCAAUGAGUCAUUCGGUA